This is a non-coding RNA of Syngnathus typhle (broad-nosed pipefish), 673 nucleotides long. The record is from the annotation of a RefSeq genome assembly. Lineage: Eukaryota; Metazoa; Chordata; Actinopteri; Syngnathiformes; Syngnathidae.
CACAAAGCCAGCUGCGCUCGCAGCUUCAUUUGCAUGACCUUCUGCGCUUCUUCAAAAAGUCCGCAGCGCUCCUUUUUUGCCGCAAACACCCCUAGCUCUACGAGUCACGAUGUGGUCUUCUGCACUUGCGCUUGUCCUUUGGGCUCUGCUGGUUCCUGGAUCUUCUGCCCAGAAUUUUGUGAGGCAAACGGACAGAAACAUAUUUGUCUCUCUCGGAGGAAACGUGGAAAUCAGGGCCACGGGGAGUCAAAGCAUUGGUCCCGAUCUCAGUUGGUACCAAGUGAAGCCUGGACAGGCUCCCAAACUGCUCAUCUACAGAGCAUCAAGCUUAUUCUCCGGCACGCCAUCUCGAUUCAGCGGCACUCAAUCCGGUUCUGACUACACUCUGACCAUCAAUGGUGUCCAGAGAGAUGACGUGGCCGAAUACUACUGUUUCGCCGACUUCGGCGGCGGCAGCUUCACACGGUGACUCAGAGACGUACAAAAACCUUCUUGGACUUUUGAGGGAAGUGAAAGUGGUCUGUAGAAGGUGGCAAGUGAAAAGCAGAAGAUAGAAGAAUGCUCAACAUAACCGGUCAGAAUUCAAGUUGAAGUCAAGCCUAUUUAUGUCUAUUCAACUAUUUAUUACAAUAUAUCAUUAUAGCCUCCUAAAAAUACACAUCACCACAAAUGA